CAGUAGCCACGGGAAUACGGAGGGUGCAAGCGUUAAUCGGAAUUACUGGGCGUAAAGCGCACGAAGGCGGUCUGUCAAGUCGGAUGUGAAAUCCCCGGGCUCAACCUGGGAACUGCAUUCGAAACUGGCAGGCUAGAGUCUUGUAGAGGGGGGUAGAAUUCCAGGUGUAGCGGUGAAAUGCGUAGAGAUCUGGAGGAAUACCGGUGGCGAAGGCGGCCACCUGGACAAAGACUGACGCUCAGGUGCGAAAGCGUGGGGAGCAAACAGGAUUAGAUACCCGUGUAGUCCCUGUCUCUUAUAC
This 301-nucleotide ribosomal RNA is filed under the name uncultured bacterium. RNAcentral describes it as "partial 16S ribosomal RNA". It matches the Rfam family "Bacterial small subunit ribosomal RNA", at positions 509 to 807 of the family's 1533-position model. The record is from RNAcentral.